Molecule: unclassified non-coding RNA, 901 nt
Filed under: Eurytemora carolleeae
Lineage: Eukaryota; Metazoa; Arthropoda; Copepoda; Calanoida; Temoridae
Description: uncharacterized LOC111709091
Source: RNAcentral
UGAGAUGGAGUUAGUCUCUCAGCUUGAAGUAGAAACACUAGUCAAUGCUGCCCAGUGUCCAACAAGAGUUGAGCAGUGUAUUGCUAGCAAAGGACAAGGAUUGAAGGAAGGAUACAAAUGGUUGGUUAAAUCAGUUAUCUCAAAGUUCGUGGAUAUCGAGGGACGGGUGGUGAAGGACUCCGAGAAAGAGAAUAAGAAGGAGGAGGUGAGGAGGGAGAAUGCCAGGAGAAGGAUUGAGGAGAAGAGAAGGUUGCAGGAGCAGGAAGAGGAGGGAGAAGGAGAGGAAGCAUCAAAUUCAGAAGAUAUUUGUCCUCCUGGAUUUGUUCCGCUUGAUGAUCUUCGAAAACGCUGGUCAACUCAGGAUAAUCCAGUCUCAGCAGCCUCUAAUCUGUUCAGUAAUGGGGGCAAAGCUGUCUCGAAUCAGUUCAGUAAUGGGAACAUAUCAACCUCUAAUCUGUUCAGUAAUGGGGGCAUGACGGAGAAGGUUAGGAACGGAAACAGUUCUCCUAAUGGAACACACUUUUCUCAGCUCAGAUUGUCAGAUCUUCCAAUAAAUGGUUCCAACGGGAAACUAGAACUGGAACCAAUACACAGGCCAAAAAAGCGUAGUCUGCUCUCCAAACUACAAAAAACGAAUACAGAAAUUAAAUCUAUAAAAUCAAUAGACAGUCAGAUAUCGCAGGCCUGGAGUACGGCAGAAGAUCGAGGCGGAAUAAGAAAUUGGGGACUGGCGGAGGAAUUAUAAAAAGUGGAGUAAGAAACUGAGGACUGGCUCAGGAUUUUUGAUGAGUUCAGUUAGAAAAUAUAGGAUAUGUUCAAUAAAAAUAAAAAAUUUAACAUGAAAUAUGUAUUAUCUAACCAGUACUUACAAGUUUUUUGUACAAAUAAAUUCAUUAUGUUA